AGCAGCCGCGGUAAUUCCAGCUCCAAUGGCGUAUAUUAAAGUUGUUGCAGUUAAAAAGCUCGUAGUUGAAUUUCGGGAUCAAGGAAUCGGUCAUGCCUUGGUAUGUACUGGUUUUAUUGGUUCUCACCUUCUAAAGAACCAUAAUGUCAUUUAUUUGAUGUUAUGGGGAAUUAGGACUGUUACCUUGAAAAAUUAGAGUGUUUAAAGCAAGCUUACGCUUGAAUACAUUAGCAUGGAAUAAUGAAAUAGGACAUCAGAUUCUAUUUUGUUGGUUUCUAGGAUCGAUGUAAUGAUUAAUAGGGAUAGUUGGGGGCAUUAGUAUUCAAUUGUCAGAGGUGAAAUUCUUGGAUUUAUUGAAGACUAACUACUGCGAAAGCAUUUGCCAAGGAUGUUUUCAUUAAUCAAGAACGAAAGUUAGGGGAUCGAAGACGAUCAGAUACCGUCGUAGUC
This 450-nucleotide ribosomal RNA is filed under the name uncultured Glomus. Its description in RNAcentral is "SSU rRNA". It matches the Rfam family "Eukaryotic small subunit ribosomal RNA", at positions 569 to 1025 of the family's 1831-position model. Lineage: Eukaryota; Fungi; Glomeromycota; Glomeromycetes; Glomerales; Glomeraceae. The record is from RNAcentral.